CCUACGGGGAGCAGCAGUGGGGGAUAUUGCACAAUGGGGGGAACCCUGAUGCAGCGACGCCGCGUGGGUGAAGGAGUGCUUCGGCAUGUAAAGCCCUAUCGGCAGGGAAGAAGCAAGACGGUACCUGACUAAGAAGCCCCGGCUAACUACGUGCCAGCAGCCGCGGUAAUACGUAGGGGGCGAGCGUUAUCCGGAUUCACUGGGUGUAAAGGGAGCGUAGACGGCCAUGCAAGCCAGGGGUGAAAGCCCGGGGCCCAACCCCGGGACUGCCCUUGGAACUGUGCGGCUAGAGUGCGGGAGGGGCAGGCGGAAUGCCUGGUGUAGCGGUGAAAUGCGUAGAUAUCAGGAGGAACACCGGCGGCGAAGGCGGCCUGCUGGACUGCGACUGACGUUGAGGCUCGAAAGCGUGGGGAGCGAACAGGAUUAGAUACCCUGGUAGUC
RNAcentral lists this ribosomal RNA (441 nucleotides) under uncultured bacterium. Its description in RNAcentral is "partial 16S ribosomal RNA". It matches the Rfam family "Bacterial small subunit ribosomal RNA", at positions 338 to 795 of the family's 1533-position model. The record is from RNAcentral.